This 71-nucleotide transfer RNA is filed under the name archaeon. Its description in RNAcentral is "tRNA-Gly". It matches the Rfam family "tRNA". Rfam says of the family: Transfer RNA (tRNA) molecules are approximately 80 nucleotides in length. Their secondary structure includes four short double-helical elements and three loops (D, anti-codon, and T loops). The record is from RNAcentral.
GUAUCGGUGGUUUAGUGGUAAAAUCCCUGCUUGCCAUGCAGGGGCCCCGGGUUCGAUUCCCGGCCGAUGCA